This is a non-coding RNA of Cinara cedri, 224 nucleotides long. The record is from the annotation of a GenBank genome assembly. NCBI's taxonomy places the organism in Eukaryota, Metazoa, Arthropoda, Insecta, Hemiptera, Aphididae.
AUCCCUACUAAUUUCAAAUAUUAAACUUACUAACACCCAGCGUCGUCCUUUUAAAGGUUUAUAACAAAAAGAAGGUUUAAGGAUGUGGUAUAAGGUAUUCAAAAGCACAAAUCACAUUGUUACUAACACAUGUAAUAAGGUACAAAGUAAUUACUAGACUAUUAACAUUCAAUUGUUAAUGCAUUAUAAUGCAUUGAUUUUUUAACCACGACUAAUAACACUCC